CCGUAGGGUAUGCGUGGUGAUCUGGUAAGUGUCUCGCUUAUGAGAUCACGCGUAUAUUCUCUGCC
This 65-nucleotide microRNA precursor is filed under the name Angiostrongylus costaricensis. Its description in RNAcentral is "mir-5885 microRNA precursor family". It matches the Rfam family "mir-5885 microRNA precursor family". Lineage: Eukaryota; Metazoa; Nematoda; Chromadorea; Rhabditida; Metastrongylidae. The record is from Rfam by way of RNAcentral.